This 783-nucleotide unclassified non-coding RNA is filed under the name Homo sapiens (human). RNAcentral describes it as "novel transcript (ENSG00000282280.1)". The record is from RNAcentral. Lineage: Eukaryota; Metazoa; Chordata; Mammalia; Primates; Hominidae.
AGAAAUAUGAGAAUCGGAUGCAUAAUGCAAUUUUCAGAGGCAUCAUGGGGAUUCGUGAAAGUCCUUGGAAGAUUUGAGAUUCAGGAACUCAAUGAAUAAAUUUAACUAUCCAUAAGUGUGGAUUUUACACAAGACUUUGAGCAUCAUGAAGACAGGAACCAUAUGCUAUUCAUCGUCAUACCCUCAGCUCCUUGGCAAGGUAUCUGGAACACAGAGAGAACUCUAUAAAGAUUUGUCAAGCUGUACUGAACAACCCCAAGCGGAUGCAGAUUGGGUCACACCAAAUGUGACUGCUGAUUCAUGUGGUCAUUUGGCAAAUAUUGAUUGAGUGCCUAUGAUGUGCCAAGCACUAUUCUUAGCCAACGCUAAGCCAAAUACACAAAAAUAAUGAUAAAGUGAGUGCUUGUCAAUUAGGUACAACCCAGGUAUUUUACCAGGCUAGUUAAUUGGUGUGUUGAGUCAAUAUGAAGACUGUUUUAAACUUCAGCUUUUGCUAUAAUAUUAUUUAAGCCUAGACAGGAAAUUCAGGGUUCCAAUAACUCAAUGCUCUCUCUUUCCUGGGCUUCAGUGUCCACACCUACAUGAUGCACAUAUACUGUAGUCUCCCAUGAGAUAUUUUGACAUAUGUUUAUACAGGAUCCUCUGAAAUUCCUUGCACAUUUUUAAAUCUUAACAAUUUGCCUAGAAACACUUUACAAAUUGCAUUAAGUAUUUCAAGGCUUAGAAAACACUAUUGCACAAAAUGCCUUUGUAUUUAAGAUCUCAUGAUAAAGUCCAUGUAUU